AGAGUUUGAUCAUGGCUCAGGACGAACGCUGGCGGCGUGCUUAACACAUGCAAGUCGAACGGUGAUCUUGGGAGCUUGCUCCUGGGUGAUCAGUGGCGAACGGGUGAGUAACACGUGAGUAACCUGCCCCUGACUCUGGAAUAACUUCGGGAAACCGAAGCUAAUACUGGAUAUGACACAGAGCCGCAUGGUUUCUGUGUGGAAAGUUUUUCGGUUGGGGAUGGACUCGCGGCCUAUCAGCUUGUUGGUGAGGUAACGGCUCACCAAGGCGACGACGGGUAGCCGGCCUGAGAGGGCGAUCGGCCACACUGGGACUGAGACACGGCCCAGACUCCUACGGGAGGCAGCAGUGGGGAAUAUUGCACAAUGGGCGAAAGCCUGAUGCAGCGACGCCGCGUGAGGGAUGAAGGCCUUCGGGUUGUAAACCUCUUUCAGUAGGGAAGAAGCGAAAGUGACGGUACCUACAGAAGAAGCACCGGCUAACUACGUGCCAGCAGCCGCGGUAAUACGUAGGGUGCGAGCGUUGUCCGGAAUUAUUGGGCGUAAAGAGCUUGUAGGCGGUUUGUCGCGUCUGCCGUGAAAAUCCGGGGCUCAACUCCGGACUUGCGGUGGGUACGGGCAGACUAGAGUGUGGUAGGGGAGACUGGAAUUCCUGGUGUAGCGGUGAAAUGCGCAGAUAUCAGGAGGAACACCGAUGGCGAAGGCAGGUCUCUGGGCCACUACUGACGCUGAGAAGCGAAAGCGUGGGGAGCGAACAGGAUUAGAUACCCUGGUAGUCC
RNAcentral lists this ribosomal RNA (779 nucleotides) under uncultured bacterium. RNAcentral's name for it is "bacterial SSU rRNA". It matches the Rfam family "Bacterial small subunit ribosomal RNA", at positions 8 to 796 of the family's 1533-position model. The record is from RNAcentral.